Molecule: ribosomal RNA, 540 nt
Filed under: uncultured bacterium
Lineage: Bacteria
Description: bacterial SSU rRNA
Rfam family: Bacterial small subunit ribosomal RNA
Source: RNAcentral
GAGUUUGAUCCUGGCUCAGGAUGAACGCCGGCGGUGUGCCUAAUACAUGCAAGUCGUACGCACUGGCCCAACUGAUUGAUGGUGCUUGCACCUGAUUGACGAUGGAUCACCAGUGAGUGGCGGACGGGUGAGUAACACGUAGGUAACCUGCCCCGGAGCGGGGGAUAACAUUUGGAAACAGAUGCUAAUACCGCAUAACAACAAAAGCCACAUGGCUUUUGUUUGAAAGAUGGCUUUAGCUAUCACUCUGGGAUGGACCUGCGGUGCAUUAGCUAGUUGGUAAGGUAACGGCUUACCAAGGCGAUGAUGCAUAGCCGAGUUGAGAGACUGAUCGGCCACAAUGGAACUGAGACACGGUCCAUACUCCUACGGGAGGCAGCAGUAGGGAAUCUUCCACAAUGGGCGCAAGCCUGAUGGAGCAACACCGCGUGAGUGAAGAAGGGUUUCGGCUCGUAAAGCUCUGUUGUUGGAGAAGAACGUGCGUGAGAGUAACUGUUCACGCAGUGACGGUAUCCAACCAGAAGGUCACGGCUAACUACG